RNAcentral lists this long non-coding RNA (282 nucleotides) under Felis catus (domestic cat). Its description in RNAcentral is "lncRNA (ENSFCAG00000051246.1)". Lineage: Eukaryota; Metazoa; Chordata; Mammalia; Carnivora; Felidae. The record is from RNAcentral.
GGGCAAUGACAUUUGAGUAGAAGUGACAUCUGUCCCUUCGGAGCUGAGAUAUUUAAAUGCUGAAGCAAUGAUCUCAUCUCCUCCUGUAUUCUCCCGCUAAAUAUUGUGGAGGAGGCCUCAUGUCACCUUAGUGACAGAGGGCGAUGAUCAGUAAUGAAGCUAAAAGGUCACCGAACACUGUUUUACCUGAAGCUGCAGAGAAUCCCGUGAAGAAUGUAUAAUCGUCGGCAUUUCGCUUACUUCCACACCGACAGAAGGAAAUGUACACAUCUACGCCCUGAA